GGGGGUGUAGCUCAGUGGUAGAGCACUUGCCUGGCAUGGGUAAGAUCCUGGGUUCCAUUCCUACCACCACAA
This 72-nucleotide transfer RNA is filed under the name Fukomys damarensis (Damara mole-rat). It matches the Rfam family "tRNA". From Rfam's summary of the family: Transfer RNA (tRNA) molecules are approximately 80 nucleotides in length. Their secondary structure includes four short double-helical elements and three loops (D, anti-codon, and T loops). Lineage: Eukaryota; Metazoa; Chordata; Mammalia; Rodentia; Bathyergidae. The record is from Rfam by way of RNAcentral.